UCCUCGGUAGCUCAAUGGUAGAGCACGCGGCUGUUAACCGCGCUGUUGUAGGUUCGAGUCCUACCCGGGGAG
RNAcentral lists this transfer RNA (72 nucleotides) under Collinsella aerofaciens. It matches the Rfam family "tRNA". Rfam says of the family: Transfer RNA (tRNA) molecules are approximately 80 nucleotides in length. Their secondary structure includes four short double-helical elements and three loops (D, anti-codon, and T loops). The record is from Rfam by way of RNAcentral. RNAcentral also lists the same sequence under 6 other names. Lineage: Bacteria; Bacillati; Actinomycetota; Coriobacteriia; Coriobacteriales; Coriobacteriaceae.